Molecule: transfer RNA, 74 nt
Filed under: Burkholderiales bacterium
Lineage: Bacteria; Pseudomonadati; Pseudomonadota; Betaproteobacteria; Burkholderiales
Also listed under: 2 other names
Description: tRNA-Gly
Rfam family: tRNA
About the family: Transfer RNA (tRNA) molecules are approximately 80 nucleotides in length. Their secondary structure includes four short double-helical elements and three loops (D, anti-codon, and T loops).
Source: RNAcentral
GCGGGUGUGGUUCAAUGGUAGAACGGCGGCUUCCCAAGCCUCAAGCGUGGGUUCGAUUCCCAUCACCCGCUCCA